UGGAAUGCUACCAAACAAGGCUGCACUCUACACCAUUUGCAGUUGUGAAUAAAGAUCCUGGCCAAAAAAAUUAAAAGGCCCCUUUUCACAAAACAUUUUUGACACAUUACAGAGAAGAGAAGCAGAUAAAUGAUGGCUGAACUUAUUAUAGUUCUAUGACAACGGGCUGUUUUUGAGAAAUUCAGCAUGAGCAAUCCAAAUUUACCAUUUUGUAGUACCAUAAAGUCAACAGAGGAGCUGAGCUCCAGAGGUUUUUUCUUUUUUUUAACAUCCAUGAUGGGGAAAGCCUGCCUUCUACCUUGUUCAGGUAGUGAGCUCCAGGUGGUUGCUACACUCACGUGACAUUUUACACCGGUUGUUUGAAGCAGCAGGGCGGUUUAUUUAAGCUAACUAACUAUGCUCUCUGUCCAUUGCUGCCAUCUGCUGCAUUUCAAAAUUGCAGUUACAAAAGAGUCCACUCCAGUAGCUUUUUUUCUUGGCUACGUGGAGGAAUAUUUAUGAAUAAAUAAAUAAAUUCAACCGACUCUCAUUAGCAUUAGCUGGUCAUUUUUAGCUUCGUCUGUUAGCAACAACUGGACAAGGCAGAUUAUUUCCUGUCACACCAGUUUGCUGCUCCCGACCACAAUUCUUACCAAAGGACCAGACUUUUUCACCACUGUGCUAAGAUGUCUUGGUUACUGCUCCGUUUCACCAGUCUAAGACAAGGUCUCCAGAAUGCUCAAAACAUAUAGAACAGGCCUGCUGCCACAAAUGUUAUGGAUUGGUGGUUUUGGGAUGUAUCAAAACUCAAAUCACAAGAUGAUUGUCUGAGGUGCAAAGUGGGAUAUUGGCCAUUCGGCAGCUGGAGCUCAGUCCACCCAUACUGCUGCAAACACCACUUCAGCAUUUUAUAAACCCCACCUCCACCUGGAGGCUCUUAUUCCCCAGUGGAGGACUUUAUCAUUGUCACUCCCCAAUCAUCUCUGUGCUGAGCUUGUGCUUAGUGAUUGAGGACAUCAGCGCAUGACAUUUCUCCAAUACACAUAUUAGCUAGUUACGUUUUUGAGUUGAAUCAUGGCCUUCAGGCCCCUGUUGCUGUUGUGAUCCAUCUGGGUCUCUUUUGCAGGCUGUUGUUUUUGAAUUUAUAUUGUUUUGUAUUGAAUGCUCUUUCCUAUUGUUUUGUGUAUGGUGUAUUGUUCUGAUGCAAACAAAUUGCCUUUCUGGGACAAAUAACACUAACUGUGAAUUGAACUGAACUCAGUUAGAGUGAAUGAAUAAAUGAAUGAGUGUCAAGUAGAGGCCAAUCUCAGACUACGCUAUUUAAGGAUUCUCAACAACAACCGUUGAGUGAAUCUUUUUUAUUCCUUUGCAGCAUAUUGUGGUUUUGAAGUUUAUUUAAAUAUGGAAUCUGGAACUUCCUUCUUGCACAGCGUUGCUCUCUUGAUGCAAUGAGGGAUGACUGAAAUGAUGUUUCAACCGCAUCAGAGAUGGUGGAGUUGUUGAGAGAGGUUUUGUGAAAGCCUGCUGUUUAUUUGAAUCAAGCGCUGCAAAAGUAAAAAUAGGACAGCUAUUAAAGUCUGAAACUGAUGUGCUAAUGCUGUUGAUUUCAAUGUGUGACAAACUUGGUUUAAAAAAGCAUAGCAGCCAAUGUGUUGUUUUAACAGACUUUAUUACCAUUGUCAACAAGGACAAGUGUGACCUGACAAGCUGUUCAACAUUUCUUAGUAGUAGAGUAUGGAAACCAUCUAUAGCCACACAACAUACCAGUUUCUCUCUUUACCAAUC
This is a long non-coding RNA of Micropterus dolomieu (smallmouth bass), 1764 nucleotides long. RefSeq lists it as uncharacterized. The transcript has 4 exons. The record is from RefSeq and is a predicted model, not a curated record. Lineage: Eukaryota; Metazoa; Chordata; Actinopteri; Centrarchiformes; Centrarchidae.